Molecule: ribosomal RNA, 1176 nt
Filed under: Triticum aestivum (bread wheat)
Lineage: Eukaryota; Viridiplantae; Streptophyta; Magnoliopsida; Poales; Poaceae
Description: partial small subunit ribosomal RNA
Source: RNAcentral
AUGGAGACGAAGACGACUCCGCUCCUGACUCCAUACAAGAUGGGCGACUUCAACCUGGCGCACAGGUCAGUUAAUUACUCGAUCGUUUCCUUAGAAUCUUGGGUCGCUGAAGUGACGCGGCCAUGGUCGGCAACGCAACGCAGGGUUGUUCUCGCGCCGCUGACGCGGUGCAGGUCGUACGGGAACCUCGCCCAGCCGCACAACGCGCUGUACUACGCGCAGAGGGCGGCGCCGGGCGUGCUCCUCGUCGCCGAGGCCUGCGCCGUCUCCGAGGCCGCGCGGGGCUACCCGCACGUCCCCGGCCUGUGGAGCCAGGAGCAGGUGGAGGCGUGGAAGCCGGUGGUCGACGCCGUGCACGGCAAGGGCGCCGUCUUCUUCUGCCAGCUAUGGCACACGGGCCGCGUUUCGCCCACCGAGUUCCAGCCUAAUGGGCAAGCUCCGGUGUCGAGCACGGAUAAGCAGGUGCCGCCUCAGGUCGCCCAUGACGGCAGUGUCCUGGAGUUCGCGCCCCCUCGAAGGUUGGCGACGGAGGAGAUACCCCACAUCGUCAACGACUUCCGGGUCGCCGCUAGGAACGCCAUGCGAGCCGGGUUCGACGGCGUGGAGAUCCACGCCGGCAACGGGUACCUGAUCGACCAGUUCAUGAAGGACGGCGUCAACGACCGGACCGACGAGUACGGCGGCGGCCUAGAGAACCGCUGCCGCUUCGCCGCGGAGGUCAUCGCGGCCGUGUGCCACGAGGCCGGCGCGGGCCGCGUUGGCGUGCGCCUCUCCCCGUUCGCCGACUACGUCGACUGCGUGGACUCCGACCCGGAGGCGCUCGCGCUGCACGUGAUCGGCGUCAUGAACGGGCUCGGCGUCCUCUACUGCCACAUGAUCGAGCCGCGGAUGUGCGUCAACGAGCGGAUGAUCCCGCGCCGCCUGCUGCCGUUCAGGAGGGCGUUCAGCGGCACCUUCAUGGUGAACGGGGCGUACGACCGGGAGGAAGGGGACAAGGCCGUCGCCGAUGGCUACGCCGAUCUUGUGGCGUACGGGCGGCUCUUCCUGGCCAACCCCGACUUGCCGGAGAGGUUCAAAAGGAACGCCGCUCUGAAUAAGUAUGACAGGAGCACGUUCUACACAUCCGACCCUGUUGUUGGCUACACCGAUUACCCUUUUCUUGAUCAGGAGGAUUAG